AGUGAACGCUGGCGGUAGGCCUAACACAUGCAAGUCGAACGGCAGCACAGUAAGAGCUUGCUCUUACGGGUGGCGAGUGGCGGACGGGUGAGGAAUACAUCGGAAUCUACUUUUUCGUGGGGGAUAACGUAGGGAAACUUACGCUAAUACCGCAUACGACCUACGGGUGAAAGCAGGGGAUCUUCGGACCUUGCGCGAUUGAAUGAGCCGAUGUCGGAUUAGCUAGUUGGCGGGGUAAAGGCCCACCAAGGCGACGAUCCGUAGCUGGUCUGAGAGGAUGAUCAGCCACACUGGAACUGAGACACGGUCCAGACUCCUACGGGAGGCAGCAGUGGGGAAUAUUGGACAAUGGGCGCAAGCCUGAUCCAGCCAUACCGCGUGGGUGAAGAAGGCCUUCGGGUUGCAAAGCCCUUUUGUUGGGAAAGAAAAGCAGCAGGUUAAUACCCCGCUGUUCUGACGGUACCCAAAGGAUAAGCACCGGCUAACUUCGUG
This 492-nucleotide ribosomal RNA is filed under the name uncultured bacterium. RNAcentral's name for it is "partial 16S ribosomal RNA". It matches the Rfam family "Bacterial small subunit ribosomal RNA", at positions 29 to 507 of the family's 1533-position model. The record is from RNAcentral.